This is a long non-coding RNA of Papaver somniferum (opium poppy), 3109 nucleotides long. RefSeq lists it as uncharacterized. NCBI's taxonomy places the organism in Eukaryota, Viridiplantae, Streptophyta, Magnoliopsida, Ranunculales, Papaveraceae. The record is from RefSeq and is a predicted model, not a curated record. The transcript has 5 exons.
CAAAAAAGAAUACAAAGAAAAACCUAAGAACAGACCCUAGGAACAAACCUACAAAACACCGAAAACCCAGAAAAAUCUCUACAAAAAACACUCUAAUGGCAAACUCUAAUCACUGAGUUUGACAUUUUCUUUGCUUAAAACCCAUCUUCUUCUUCCUCUAUUUGACAAUAUAUCCAUCGUCAUCAACAACAUCGGUUAAUGUUCCACUGAGCCCUAAGUAUUUUUUUUUUUGCUCGGCAAGCCCUAAGUAUAUUUAAUCCCGUUGGUUUCAUUGAUCUGUACCGUCUCUAUCGUCAAGAUCAUAUAAGGUUUAAUCGAAUUGAUCCAGUGAAGAAGCUAGGUAUUAGUAUUUGUGGGUUUACGAAGGAGGCAAUGUACGGUAGUUCAAAGUUAGAGAUUACAAUUAUAAAAAAGGAGCAUCCAGCAAGUCACUAUACAAAACCACUGUAUACAAGCAAAACUAUGAGAAUUCACAGUUCAUAGAUGAUACUAUCAACCAGAACAUAGCUUCUUCGAAGACAAUAGAUGGUACGAUCUUUGCUCUUAAUAAAUAACAAAAUGUUGUCUGUUGGACUGGAUUUCAAAGCUGAAGGUACUCUUUUUGAUAAGCUUUUGUGCAAGAUAUUGUGCAGCUGAUAUCUACUUAGAAGACAUUCAAUAGAAUGCUGUAUUAAUGCUGAAGACGUAUUUAAAGGAUUCCCACCAGAACCUGGUGCGUACGAGAAGGUUCUUCUACCUACAGACUGGAGGUACAAGAUUUACUGGAAACAAGCAGAUGUUUGAAUAAGUUGAUUGUGAAAUUGUAGUCUUAAGUGCUGUGCUACUCAGCGAAGCGAUGCUGCCUCCAAGGGAAUGAGUACUUUAAAGAGAUGAAUUCAUCAGUUGGCACUUCAGAUUCUGUAAUACGACCUGUUCAAGGUAUGUUCAAUAAUCUUUGUUAACAGGAUUAUGGGGGCACUUCUCGGUAUCUACUGUUGAAAAUAGAUGCAACUAAGACAUCUGCAUCCGAGAUAUAUUUUCAACAUGUCAAGAGAGAUAAUUUGGACUGUAAGCAUUUUUGGAAUCUGAUAUGCAAAGUUGCCACAUCGAUUGUAAGAGAAAUUAUAAACUGAGAUGCUAGAAGAGUAAACAAAAGACUAGGAUGGCCACCAAACCAGAGACCAAAGCAAGGCUAGACAAAACAGAAAGUAUCAAUGGUACUUCGUCCUUAACUAAAAUGGAACUUUCAUGCUGGAGCAAGAACUAGCAUAAAAGUCGAUUUAUUAUGACCAGCGCGGUUAUUUGUUAUUUCAUUUUCUAUUAUCGAAUACCCAGGAGACAUUAACUUGAUAAUAUACGUGUUGUCUUUACCUGUAACCAGUUAUCUGACCCUUCCAUUUAUACAACUAUUGAGUUUGAAAGCCACUAUUGAGUAGAGAUUGAAGCUCAAGUAAGUACUCAUGGCAAACUAUUAUUCCCUCGGUGGAAAUUCAGGCCAAAUGCUUCAAAGCAAAAGAACAGUCCCUGACUAGAAAACUUAUAUGAAAGUAAGGUAUGAAUAAUCCUUUUGUAUCAGACAUCUAUUAGGUUUGAACAUACUUUUCUAGAUGUAUUGAUGAUAGGCUUGCAAGCUCAUUGUAAAUACAAGGUAAGUGCAGCCUCCAAUUGAUGUAAAGGCUAUAUUAGCUGUUUCAGGGACUUAGAGUGAGUGUAGAUGUUACAUUGUGCUCUGCAGGGCUAUGUAAGUGUUGGGAAUCUUGGCAUGUGUUUGUUUCAUGUCCAUUGGUAAUUUUUGUUGCCAAUGCCUAGGUGAAUCAGAUCAGAGGGAUUUAAAUUCAAUAUCUUCAACGACACUGCGGUUUUGCUGUCUAAGAUAGUUAUUCGUGGUUUUGCACCUGUUUCAAAUUCAAUAUUUUCGCAUGCAGGGCUGUUUAAGUACCGGUAUAUUCUGAAAACUGAAGUGUGGUAUGUGGUUAGUGGUGCAUUAGAGUCUCAAGUAUUACAGCACGUAUUUGAACCAGGUUUGCCCAUCUGGGUCUAUGUAUAAUACUCUCUGUUUAAUUUAUUUUUAUUUAUAUAAUUUCCAAGUGGAGUGUUUGUGACACCCACUUGCAAUCUUAUUUUAUUAAUUUGUUUGUGUGGCAGGGAAGACAAACUAUCUAUUAGAGGUACAUUUCACAUAAUGUAUGAACUGUUGGUUAAGGCAGAUGCUGAUUUUGAAAUUCUUUGGUUGUUUUGCAGUUUUUGCCCGGGUCAGAAAGAAGUUUUGGUGAUGUUUUGACUUUCUUGGAUCGAUCUUACAUGCCCAGACUCCACAUGAAAAUUUUAUCACUAUGUUUCGAGUUUUUAACAUCGCUAUCCAGUUUGAGCUAUUUGUCAGUAUCUUAUAAGAACAGUCUUCCCUGUAGGUAGAAAGGUUUUUAUAGAUAAGGAGAAGAAGGUUCUUAUUAGUUACUAGCCAAUUGCAUCAAACGAGAACCAUGAGAACUGCUUCUGGAAUGAAUUGAGAGAAACAUGUGAAGAUGGCAUUGAUCACAGAUGGAUCUUACAAGAAUUGUCUUCCCCUAGGGGUAACUGUAAGGCAAUUACUUUGGAGCAUGAAGAUCCGUUCACGACUUUCACCUUGGAAGAUUUCUUCCACUUUUCAUCUGUACUUUCCUUGGCAGCAGCCUUCACCUUCCUAUCAAGAGAAGCAACCUCUUUCUCCAUCUGCCAAUCAGGAAAGAUCACAUGUUCUUUCAUGUUACCAUCCAAUUGCAUCAAACAGUCCACUAGAACUGCUUUUGGAAUAUAUUGAGAGAACAAUAUCAAGAUGGCAUGGAAAGCUGGUUUUUUUACAAUCUGUGCUUUUUCUUCAUUGAGCAACUUCUGUGAACUGUAUCCGUGUUUGUUGCUAUUUUCAUGAAGUUUGGACUAAGCCUUACAUUAUGCAAAAUCAAGUGAUAUGAUGAUUUGCUUGAGAUGGCAAAGGAGUUAAUCUCAAACACUGCCCUCGGUCAAAUCUAUGAAAGCAACGCUCUAAAUAUCUGGGACCUGUAAUAUUAAUAUUCCUUGGUGGCAGUUUACAGAUUUGUACUUUUAUCUGUUAUGUUUUGGAAGCUAUUGGUCAUAUCUUAACAUUUUUAUUGUC